Leptonychotes weddellii (Weddell seal) is the source of this 828-nucleotide non-coding RNA. Lineage: Eukaryota; Metazoa; Chordata; Mammalia; Carnivora; Phocidae. The record is from RefSeq and is a predicted model, not a curated record.
UUUUCCUUGUUUCUUUUUUAGUAAUUUUAUGCGCCAAGAGUGUUUGGAUUCCAGAUUUGUAUUUGACAGACCUCUUCCUGUGUCUCGUCUUGUAUCUCUAAUUGGAAGCAAGACCCAGAUACCAACACAACGAUAUGGCCGGAGACCAUAUGGUGUUGGGCUGCUUAUUGCUGGUUAUGAUGAUAUGGGCCCUCACAUUUUCCAAACCUGUCCAUCUGCCAACUAUUUUGACUGUAGAGCCAUGUCCAUUGGAGCCCGUUCUCAAUCAGCUCGUACUUACUUGGAGAUACAUAUGUCUGGGUUUAUGGAGUGCAAUUUGAAUGAACUGGUUAAACAUGGUCUGUGUGCCUUACAAGAGACACUUCCUGAAGAACAGGACCUAACUACAAAGAAUGUUUCCAUUGGAAUUGUUGGUAAAGACUUGGAGUUUACAAUUUAUGAUGAUGAUGAUGUAUCUCCAUUCCUGGAAGGUCUUGAAGAAAGACCACAGAGAAAGGCACAGCCUGCUCAGCCUGCUGAUGAACCUGCAGAAAAGGCUGAUGAACCGAUGGAACAUUAAGUUACAAGCCAGUCUGUAUGUUUAUUAUCAAAUCUGUAAGAAUGCAGGAACAUGUACUGAUGACAAUAAUCUGUACGUAGGAAUCAGUCCAGAUGUGUUUUUCCCUAGCAACUUGUCUGAAAUCAUAUAAUGGUGUGCAUUUUUCUUUGAGAGGGUCUAUAUAAUCAUUUUCUAGAAAGUAUAGGUAUCUGUACUGAUGUUUUUAUAUGAAGAACAUAGUGUCUUUGUGGUUUUAAAGACAACUGUGAAAUAAAAUUGUUUCACCUGCC